Molecule: non-coding RNA, 21 nt
Filed under: Arabidopsis thaliana (thale cress)
Lineage: Eukaryota; Viridiplantae; Streptophyta; Magnoliopsida; Brassicales; Brassicaceae
Source: RNAcentral
UCAGCAAUACAAUUUCACUCC